AGAGUUUGAUCAUGGCUCAGGACGAACGCUGGCGGCGUGCCUAACACAUGCAAGUCGAACGAGGCCACUCCUUCGGGAGUGAGUCGAGUGGCGGACGGGUGAGUAACACGUGAGCAAUCUACCCUUGUGCGGGGGAUAACCCGGGGAAACCCGGGCUAAUACCGCAUGUUUCGAUGAAGGGACAUCCCUUUAUCGGGAAACGUGGCCUCUUUACAAUGCUACGGCGCAGGGAGGAGCUCGCGGGCUAUCAGCUAGUUGGUGAGGUAACGGCUCACCAAGGCAUCGACGGCUACGGGGUCUGAGAGGACGACCCCGCACAUUGGAACUGAGACACGGUCCAGACUCCUACGGGAGGCAGCAGUGGGGAAUAUUGGGCAAUGGCCGAAAGGCUGACCCAGCGACGCCGCGUGUGGGAGGAAGCCCUUCGGGGUGUAAACCACUGUCAGAGGGGACGAAAGAAUCGCGGGUAAACAAUCCGCGGAAGUGACGGUACCCUCAAAGGAAGCACCGGCUAACUCUGUGCCAGCAGCCGCGGUAAUACAGAGGGUGCAAGCGUUGUUCGGAAUUACUGGGCGUAAAGCGCGCGCAGGCGGAUCCUGCAAGUCCGAAGUGAAAUCUCCUUGCUCAACGAGGGGGCUGCUUUGGAUACUGCGGAUCUGGAGACCGGUAGAGGCUGGUAGAAUUGCAGGUGUAGCGGUGG
Molecule: ribosomal RNA, 700 nt
Filed under: uncultured bacterium
Lineage: Bacteria
Description: bacterial SSU rRNA
Rfam family: Bacterial small subunit ribosomal RNA
Source: RNAcentral